Podarcis lilfordi (Lilford's wall lizard) is the source of this 69-nucleotide non-coding RNA. The record is from the annotation of a GenBank genome assembly. Lineage: Eukaryota; Metazoa; Chordata; Lepidosauria; Squamata; Lacertidae.
GAUAGCUCAGUUGGUUAGAGCAUGCUGCUGAUAAUGACAAGAUUGCAGGUUAAAUCCCAGUAAGGGACA